This 398-nucleotide unclassified non-coding RNA is filed under the name uncultured Inocybe. RNAcentral describes it as "sequence contains ITS2". The stretch from base 1 to 154 matches the Rfam family "5.8S ribosomal RNA". Lineage: Eukaryota; Fungi; Basidiomycota; Agaricomycetes; Agaricales; Cortinariaceae. The record is from RNAcentral.
AACUUUCGGCAACGGAUCACUUGGCUCUCGCAUCGAUGAAGAACGCAGCGAAAUGCGAUAAGUAAUGUGAAUUGCAGAAUUCAGUGAAUCAUCCAAUCUUUGAACGCAUCUUGCGCUCCUUGGUAUUCCGAGGAGCAUGCCUGUUUGAGUGUCAUCAAAUUCUCAACUACAAUGAUUUCUUCAGUGUAGCUUGGAUUUGGGGGACUUUGGCAUCUAGAAGUCAGCUCCCCUGAAAUUGAUUAGCGGUACCUUUGUAGACCAUCUACAGGUGUGAUAAUUGUCUACACCUUAGUUGUCUGAAUGCUGCUUCCAACUUGAGUUUUGGAACUCGUGACAAUCUUGACCUCAAAUCAGGUAGGACUACCCGCUGAACUUAAGCAUAUCAAUAAGCGGAGGCU